Long non-coding RNA from Ictalurus punctatus (channel catfish), 4495 nucleotides. RefSeq lists it as uncharacterized. The transcript is spliced from 5 exons. NCBI's taxonomy places the organism in Eukaryota, Metazoa, Chordata, Actinopteri, Siluriformes, Ictaluridae. The record is from RefSeq and is a predicted model, not a curated record.
AAAUUAAGUGAUGCAUGUUCAAUAUUACACCACACGGGGGCAGCAGAGCAACAUGCCAAAUAGAUGCCUUACUGUCUAGUAAUCUCUGAACUGGUUCUUGACCUGCAGUUUCUAUACUCAAGCAAGGCAAUAAAUAAUAUGCCAGGAUUAGUUAGCUCGGAGAAAUUUAGAAAAAGCUUAUGUAAGAAUUUCUGCUCUAUCAAGUAGGGGCACAACUACAUAUUUUUGGCAUAUAAAUACACACCCCUGACUGUAUAUAUUCUUGACAGGUUAAUGUAUUUUUCCCUGAAUACUCUGGGCCUUGUGAAAUAUCCUCAUCUUCCCAAGGAACACCUGUGGUCGGUCCUUACUACCAAGUAGACUAUUUUUAAUAUAGUGUUAUACUAUGGCAUAUAAUACACAGUUAAUGCAGUGGAACGAGAUUCUGGUGAACAGUGGAAUGACUUUAUUGUAUAAGAUCUUCAGGUACACUCUCUGUAUCUUGUAGACUCAUUUGUUAGGAUUUCCCCCAUUUUAUUUAAUUCCCACUCAUCCUGUGCACAGUAUCUCCAAAUACCCUCAGUGUCCACUUUAUUAGGAACACCUGUACACCUGCUCAUCGAUGCCAAUCAUGUGUCAGCAGCGCAAUGCAAAAAAAAAGAAAAAAGACUCAUAAGGAUACAUGUCAAAAGCUGAACAAUACUCAUCCUAAUAGAUCACACUAUUCUCCUUGAUAGAUUACAAAAUGUUGUUGGCAUUAAGGUAAAGGUCCUCUCCUGGCUCAGGUCUUAUUUGACUGAUCAAAUGGAGAGUUCUCUAUGCAUACGGAGAUAAAGUUUGGUGUUCCACAAGGUUCUGUUUUAGGCCCACUGCUCUUUACUUUAUAUAUGCUACCUCUAGGUCAAAUUAUUCGUAAACAUGGAAUUAGCUUCCACUGUUAUGCUGAUGAUACACAGUUGUAUGUUUCACCGAAGCCAGAGGACAGACAGCAGCUUAGUAAAGUUGAGGAUUGUGUAAAGGACAUUAGACGGUGGAUGUUUAUUUACUUUCUCUUACUUAAUUCUGAUAAGACAGAAAUACUUGUACUAGGACCACGUGUAGCUAGAAGUAAGCUUUCUGAUCACAUGGUUACUCUGGAUGGUCUUUCUGUUUCAUCAUGUGCAGCAGUAAAAGACCUUGCAGUGAUUAUUGACUCCAGUCUAUCAUCUGAUGCUCAUUUAGAUAAUAUUACUAUGAUAGUCUUCUUUCAUCUCAGAAAUAUUCCUAAGAUAAGAAAUAUAUUGUCACUACAUGAUGCAGAAAUACUAGUUCAUGCUUUCGUCACCUCUAGACUAAAUUACUUUAAUGCCUUACUGUCUGGAUGUCCCAGUAGGAGCAUAAACAAAUUCCAGUUAGUCCAGAAUGCAGCUGCUAGAGUCCUAACUAGAACCAGAAGAUACGACACAUCACCCCGAUCUUAUCCACACUGCAUUGGCUCCCAGUGAAAUCUCGCAUUGAUUAUAAAAUACUAUUAUUAACCUAUAAAGCACUAAAUGGUCUCGCGCCACAGUAUCUAAGCGAUCUUUUGGUUUUCUAUGAUCCGCCACGCCUACUUAGAUCAAAAGAUGCAGGCUAUCUGACGAUACCUCGAAUAGUGAAGGCUACAGCAGGGGGAAGAGCUUUCUCUUAUAGAGCCCCACAGUUAUGGAACAGUCUUCCUAUUAGUGUUCGGGACUCAGACACAGUCUCAGUGUUUAAGUCUAGGCUUAAAACGUGUUUGUUUACUCAAGCUUACCCUGACUAGACUUUCUGUUACGCUAAGCACAGUCCUAAUAAUCUUUUCUCUCCCUCUCUCCUUCUGCCGAGCCACACACGAUUUUAUGGAGAUACUAGAGAUCCUGAUCCUCUCUGCUCUCCGGACCUGCCUGAUCCGUCUCGGAUGUCCUGCCUCUGGAUGGAGCUCUCAUCUACUCCAAUUCCAGCUUGCUGGGACUACGGCUGCUUCUAAGACCAAACAGACUUCAUAUAAAUCCAUAAUGAACUUUUUCAUACUAUCUGUUGUUCCCCAGAUGAGGACGGGUUCCCUUCUGAGUCGGGUUCCUCUCAAGGUUUCUUCCUCUUAUCAUCUUAGGGAGUUUUUCCUCCUCUUUCACCACCGGCUCGCUCAGUUGUGAUAAAUCUGUAUACCGUGUUUAUAUAUUUCUGUGAAGCUGCUUUGAGACCAUGUCUAUUGUAAAAAGCGCUAUACAAAUAAAAUUGAAUUGAAUUGAAAUUAAUCCUAAUUUUUUACUACUUGGGCGUGGAAAGCUAGCAGUAAUGAGAACUGUUUACGGUCACAUUCUUACGAAGCCAGUUAGCACCAGCGAUCAUCUUUGUUAGCAUUUUUCAUGGAAAGGUUAGGCUAUAUACGGGGCAUGCGUCACUGAUUAGUGAACCAUUUCAAAAUGAUUUGACUGGUGUAAAAUAUAUAUAUAUUUUUCAUCAUUUUUACUUUAUUUUCUUUACAUUUAUCUGUUUAUUGGUGCUUUUUUUGUUUUUUUUGCACUGUAAAAUCAUCCUAACUGUUUAUUUUAUACUGGUAGGACAACCUGAUAGGGUAUUUCACACAGGUGUUAGGUGUAUUUCGCACUUAGGUGUUCCUUUUAGCCCAAAACAGAGACAACUUGGGUGUUAAGAUCUCAACAGUGUGUUUUACUAGUGUAGAGAUACAGACUGGGGACGAAGAAAAACCAAUGGUAAUGUUGCAUUAUAGGAGACAUUUGUUUGUUUUUUGCUGCCAUGGUUUGUUUGUACUUGUCCCCUUAGAGCAACGCGUCACUGCAAAUCAACACCAUCGUUCUACUGCCUGAUCACCUCGGAACAUUUCUGUCCUAAUGGGCAUGGUAUCUAUUGGACAAUUCCACCCAAUCCAGGACUUUUUGAAUGGUUUGAUGAGGAUGAAAAUGAUGUAAAUUAUACACUAUGGCCUUCUCAGUCAACACAUCUCAAUACAAUUUAACCUUUGUGCAAGAUUUUGCAGCAAUGUUCAGACAGUUCCCCUGACACCUUACUAACAAACCUUAUGUUGCAGCUGUUUUUUUUUUUUUUUUUAAAUCGCCACCCUUCUGCAAGAUGGCUAGAUAUUAGUUGAGAGGAAGUACCAAAACGAAGUAGGUCUCUUUUGACAGUUCAGACACACUGUGAACUUGAUAGGUUUGUCUUUCACAUGUGGUUUGGGGUGUUUUUCAAACAUGGCAUACUAUAUACACAGUACAGCAAAAAAAUGUUUCAUCUCAUGAUUUCAAGAACAGCAAAUAUAAAAAGGACUUUCCCAUCUCUGGCAGUGUACAUUUGUCAGAAUUCCUCCUCUAUUCCCCAUGUGCUGUGCAAGAAUGUAUAAACAGCUCAUUAGCAAGCCCGUCAUGCCAUCAGACUCGGUGGUAGAACCGAGGGUUUAGGAAAUAAUGCAGUAAAUACACACUCAAAGAAGUGUUGCUUUGACAAAGAUAGACCAGAGAAGUGUUUAUGACCGUCUAUAAGUGCUGAUUGCUGUGUGUUACUGAUUACUGUCUUUCAUUAACAGGAAAUGGUCAAAAGAUAAACUCCACCAUUUGCACCUCAUAGAAAAAAAAACAACAGCAUGACGUCAUGAACUUCACUGUGAGAAGAUCGCAGUAGAAAACACUGAACGACGCCUCAGGCACCAGGAUGCUAAGACUUUGUCUUGCUCUAAUGCUCGUCAGUGUUCUUGGCGCGUCUCUGCUGGCGGUGAACUUGUAGCAGCCCAGUCUCCUUCAGUGCUGCUGAUAGAUGGUUCCACUGAGGGUCUGAUGGACCAGAAGUGACAAGGGGCUACAGUUUCUCCAUCAUCUGCUCCACUGAACCUCAGUAUACAGGAGGUUCCUUCCACUUGAAGAUCAUUGAAUCCAACCUCACCAGAACUCAGUCGGCUGUUAACCACUCAGCCGUCUUCCGUUUUCUUGAAGCAGAUUUUGUCCAUCAGGGAAACUACAGCUGUACUUAUAAAAAUUAACAUGUCUUUAACCUCUAAUGCCAAUUACUUCAAUGGCAGCACCAUAAAAGCGUCUCUUCCACUCUACAUUGGUGUCGGAGUGACCGCAGGACUGCUCCUCAUCUUAGUUCCAGUCAUCAUUUGCAUUGUGAAGGCACAGAAAAGACGAAAAUAUCAGAUGUAUAUGAAGAAGGAAACACAGCACGCCGAAGACACCGACGCGAGUCCCCAAGUAGAAGACGAAUCAGACGACGUAGACGAGGCAGACGACGCAGACGACGAACCUGAUUAUGAAAAUAUGGACACUGUGCCCCACCAGACGCAUGAUUCAGACGACUCUGAUAACGACUACCUUAAUGUUGAUGUUUGUGGACAGAGAAGCGCUCUCGUAGACAAUGACCACGAAGGUGAAGGAAUUUAUGCAAAUUGUUUAGAGUAGUGUGGAGAACUAAACAAUCAUCCAAUGUCCACAGGCCAGAAAGAAUAACAAGUUUCAAUUGGAUAACUCACUUUUUUUCUUUAUUAAAGUACUAUUUUUGACUUUUA